This 74-nucleotide transfer RNA is filed under the name Caudoviricetes sp. Its description in RNAcentral is "tRNA-Glu". It matches the Rfam family "tRNA". From Rfam's summary of the family: Transfer RNA (tRNA) molecules are approximately 80 nucleotides in length. Their secondary structure includes four short double-helical elements and three loops (D, anti-codon, and T loops). Further hydrogen bonds mediate the characteristic L-shaped molecular structure. tRNAs have two regions of fundamental functional importance: the anti-codon, which is responsible for specific mRNA codon recognition, and the 3' end, to which the tRNAs corresponding amino acid is attached (by aminoacyl-tRNA synthetases). tRNAs cope with the degeneracy of the genetic code in two manners: having more than one tRNA (with a specific anti-codon) for a particular amino acid; and 'wobble' base-pairing, i.e. permitting non-standard base-pairing at the 3rd anti-codon position. The record is from RNAcentral. Lineage: Duplodnaviria; Heunggongvirae; Uroviricota; Caudoviricetes.
GCUGCUAUAGACGAACUGGUUAAGUCGUCACCCUUUCACGGUGAAGAGUUCGGGUUCGAAUCCCGAUGGCAGUA